RNAcentral lists this ribosomal RNA (496 nucleotides) under uncultured bacterium. RNAcentral's name for it is "partial 16S ribosomal RNA". It matches the Rfam family "Bacterial small subunit ribosomal RNA", at positions 28 to 507 of the family's 1533-position model. The record is from RNAcentral.
GAUGAACGCUGGCGGCGUGCCUAAUACAUGCAAGUCGAGCGAACAGAUGAGGAGCUUGCUCCUCUGACGUUAGCGGCGGACGGGUGAGUAACACGUGGAUAACCUACCUAUAAGACUGGGAUAACUUCGGGAAACCGGAGCUAAUACCGGAUAAUAUAUUGAACCGCAUGGUUCAAUAGUGAAAGACGGUUUUGCUGUCACUUAUAGAUGGAUCCGCGCCGCAUUAGCUAGUUGGUAAGGUAACGGCUUACCAAGGCAACGAUGCGUAGCCGACCUGAGAGGGGGAUCGGCCACACUGAAACUGAGACACGGCCCAGCCCCCUACGGAAGCCAGCGGUGGGAAACUUUCGGAAUGGGGGGAAGGCCUGACGAGGAACCGCGGCGUGGUUGAUAAGGGCCUCCGGUUGGUAAACCCUGGUAUUAGGGAAAAAAAAAAGUUGUAGGUAAUAUUGACCUUCUGAAGGUAACUAAUCAGGAAGCCCCGGCUAACUACGUG